Cyprinus carpio carpio is the source of this 3976-nucleotide long non-coding RNA. Lineage: Eukaryota; Metazoa; Chordata; Actinopteri; Cypriniformes; Cyprinidae. The record is from Ensembl.
GUCAGCACAUGGCCUUGUUAGUUGUUUUCUCUGCCAUGUGCUCCCUUAGUCCCUCCUUGUUUCUUUUCUACGUCACCCUCUUGUUAGCCUUGUUAGUCUAAUUGUGCUCACCUGUUCCUCAUGUGUUUUCCUCCCUAUUUAUAGUGCUCCUUACCCUUUUGUUUUUGCUGGUUCGUGGUCAUUUUCACCCCCUCUGUCACUGUCUUCAUAGCUGUCUGUGGAUAUGGCUUUAUAUGUGCCCGUGUCUCCCUGUCUGGUUGGUCUUGUGCCCUUGUUUUGUCUAGUCCUUGUUGUUUCAUGUUCUUGUCUUGCUCCUUAGGUUGGUAAUCUGUUUGUUCUUGCUUUUAUUUUACUUGUAAUUUAGUUUUUCUAGUCCUGAUUCUUGGUUUUGUUUGAUAUUCUUUAAGUUGGUUAAAUUGGUAAUUAUUUCUUAUUUUUGUUACUUUACUCUUUAUUAGUUCAUUGGUUUAUUUUUUUCCCUUAUCUUGGGGUUAAUUUGUGUUUCUGUGGAGCUUUGUCGUGUCUAGUCUUGUGUUAGAGUUCCUGAUCUGUUCCCGUGUGUCCUGCCCUUGUUCUAUCUGCCUGACUCUUGGUCUGCUUCUGAGUCGGCGGUCACCUAAUGUUUGAGCUCUGCUCUAUGAUGCCUUGUGUGGUCUUCUCCAUCAGCCUGGUCUUGCCGCCCCCUCUGUUGCCAAUGUAUUCUGCAAGUUUCCUGAAGCUGACCCAGUGGCCUUCCCUAGCUGUUCCUGUUUAUUGUGUUCCUGUUGUGGUAUUUGUGCACUUCACUACCCUCUUGUAUCAGUCUGUUUUGUCAAUAAACCAUUGUUCACUCACUCUCUAACUGGGUCCUCCUUCUCAGAUCCCUGACAUUACGAACCAGCCCAAGUCAGGACCCAGCAGAUGAGCAUCACUACUCCGGGUUUUUUUUUUUUCAUUUUAUCUAGUGAAUUUUUUUUGCCCUGAAUGUUAAUCAUGUCUUGUUAGUUUCAGAUACCCCUGAGUUGGCUGAUUGCUGCAGCUAUCCCUGAUCUAGUCAAGUUCAAUUUCUGAAUCCGUCAAGUCAGUUUCAAACUCUGCUGGGAUUGCUGUAGUCAUCUUUGCUUCAAAUCAUUCCAGUCAGAAUUAAAGUUAUCCAAGCCGCUCCAGUGUCGGCUCCAGCCCCAGAGCUCGCUCCAGUGUCGGCUCCAGCCCCGGAGGGCAUCAAGAAUCAGUUCCUGCAGCCCCCGAGUCUCUUCCAAUAGCCCCCACAGUCCUUCCCCAGUCAAUAUUGGAACCUAGUCCAGAGGUGUUUAGUUCGGUGGUCUUGUUGUCAGAACCUCAAGUCAUAGUUACAAGGGUAUUCUACCAAACCUCCCAGCCUAUUUGACUGUUACAGAAGUUGUACCGGAGACUGUUCUAGCCUCUCACAUCCUGUCAUCAGAAGUCAAUCUUGUCACCAUGCCCACUGAAGUUUCUCCUGUCAUUUGUCAAGUGUCCAGAGAUCACUCCUGUCAUGUCCACAGAUGCUGUCUAGUCCCCAGAGUUCACUCCUGUCAUGUCCACGGAAGAUGUUGUCAAGCAUCCAGAGUUCACUCCUGUCAUGUCCACGGAAGAUGUUGUCAAGUCAUGCCUUCAGAGGUUGUCCCUACCCAUCAUGUCUGGGCCAUACAAAGUGUUCCUGCUUGUCCUGUCACUCCUAUAGAGGUCGUUCCUGCCAGUUGGGUCAUGGCCAUAGUUGUUCCUACCGUCAAGUUAUGGCCAUAUAAAAUGUUCCUGUCUGUCCUGUUAUGUCCUCGAAGGCCGCCCUUGCCAGUUGGGUCAUGGCCAUGGAGAUGCGUUCUUGUUUGUCUUGUCAAGCCCACAAAGGUUGUUCCUGCUAGUCAAGGUACAGUCACUGAGAUCAUACCAGACCAGCUAUCUGCUGCUUCUGAUGAGUCCCUCAGAGGAUGAUCCUGAUAGAAGUUGCGCCCACUGAGAUCAUACCAGACCAGCAAUUGGCUGCUUCUGACGAGUCCCUCAGAGGAUGUUCCUACUAGUUGUCAGCCACCUGAAGAGGCUAUCCUGUCUGUUUUGUCCCAUCCUUGAAGAUUGUUCCUGUUUGUCUUGUCAAGCCCAAGGAGGUGGUUCCUGCUAGAAGUUGCACUCACUGAGAUCAUACUGGAUCAGCUAACUGCUGCUUCUGACGAGUCCCUCAGAGGAUGUUCCUGCCUAGAAGUUGCACCACUGAGAUCAUACCAGACCAGCUAUCUGCUGCUUCUAACGAGUCCCUCAGAGUGAUCCAGCUAGUCAUGUUCCACCUGUGGAGGCUAUCCCCCAGUAUACUAUCCCUGUCAUGACCUCUGAAGAUGUUCCUGAACAGUCUGCUCAACCACAGUGCUACCGCUUGAUGCUGACUUUCACCACAACCCCCCCCCCCCCGCUACCUGCACUUUCUACUCUUGCAACUAUUGUGUAGUCUGAGUGGAUGCCAGGAGGCGUCCAUUGGGAGGGGGGUAGUGUCAGGGUUUUGCACUGUCACUGGGUUUUGUUUCUUGUUUAUGUCUUGUCAGCACAUGGCCUUGUUAGUUGUUUUCUCUGCCAUGUGCUCCCUUAGUCCCUCCUCCUUGUUUCAUUUCUACGUCACCCUCUUGUUAGCCUUGUUAGUCUAAUUGUGCUCACCUGUUCCUCAUGUGUUUUCCUCCCUAUUUAUAGUGCUCCUUACCCUUUUGUUUUUGCUGGUUCGUGGUCAUUUUCACCCCCUCUGUCACCGUCUUCGUAGCUGUCUGUGGAUAUGGCUAUAUGUGCCUGUGUCUCCCUGUCUGGUUGGUCUUGUGCCCUUGUUUUGUCUAGUCCUUGUUGUUUCGUGUUCUUGUCUUGCUCCUUAGGUUGGUAAUCUAUAGUAGUUUAAAGAAAAUACUAGUUUAAAACUAAUUUUCCUUUUUCUUGCUGUCAUUGUAGUAUGCAAAGACACUACAAGCUUGGAAUGCACACAUUUGGGCUACUUGCAUGUUCAACCAAUCUGAAGCAGAUGGAUGAGGUGCUUCUCAGUGCCACAGUUGUGUUUUGUUGUCCCUGCAGUGGAGACGAUGUGGCAAAGCAUUACAACAACUUAGUAGUGCCUAUGCAACAAGUGGGAAAACUGGAAUUUGAGGAAGAAAACAUUGCUGCUGAGGACUAGAAGGUAAUUAACACAGUGUGAGUUCUAUUCAUGUAGAAUAUUGACAGCACACAGCCAUGCAGUAUGGUCUUAUGUUGAAAUCUCUAACUUGACCUGCUGUGGAUUUUUUAGAGGACAUUGCAUUCGCAACCAUGUGUGUUUUGCAUCAUGUACAUGAAGACAAGCAUGACAGUUAAAGACUUUUAUUCAGGAUGUGCCCUACCUCUUGCUUAAUGCUUCUAGGGAGUAGCUGUCCCACAAAUUGAUGCUGAAUUAAGUAAUUUUGUUUAUUUACAAUGAUGUGGGAAACACAGCUCUCGAGAGCCACUUCCAGCAGGUAAUAGAGAGAGCGCCUCUUGACCUUGAUGGCGAAGAAAACAAUUAUCAUGCUCCAGCAUUCAUUGCAAGAUUGGCCAAGUACUUCCUCCCACAUGCAACUCUGUGGUCUGGUCUGAUGCUAGGUGAUAUUGGCCGUCAUGGUACUUGCUCAGCAUACCAGCAUUUCAGCAAGAUUUAUGAAUAAGUCAGUAAGUCCAAUAAACAGAACUUUACACAGGACAAUCGAACACAGGACAUUAUGGAAAAAAGCCAAUGGGACCUAAAAAAAAUCAGGUUCCAGAGAAGGAGACUCACACGACUGGAUGACUUUGUGCUGAUAUAUCAAAGGAUGCAUGAUGCACAGCUCCGUGAAUAUGAUGACACAGAAAGAUCAAGAAAGAAAUUGUUUCGAGUGGAAAUGGAACAGUGGAAAAAGAAAAGUCAGAAGCGUAAAGGAGUAUACGUUUCUCCAUUAGUGAAGGGUUUGCCAUUCAAAGAUGUGAGAAGCAAGGAGAAGCCUUCAAAGGCACCCCCAGAAGUACA